Molecule: long non-coding RNA, 1349 nt
Organism: Nicotiana tabacum (common tobacco)
Lineage: Eukaryota; Viridiplantae; Streptophyta; Magnoliopsida; Solanales; Solanaceae
Source: RefSeq, a predicted model, not a curated record
UAGAAAAUUUAGUUGGCGCUUUAAAGGCUUCUAUGGCUUUUCUUGUGUUUGUGUUUGUUCUGUAUGUAUAGCUUUAUCAAGAAACACACACAAACACACAGUGGCAAUGGGUAUUUACACCUUUCAUUGACCAUAAUGAAUUACCUCCCUCUACCAGCCCCUUUAAUUUCCCUGCACAGCAUGCACUUAUUAGUUUUAAUUGCAAAUAUUUACUCCAAUUUUCCAUUUUGAGCAAACUAUCUUGGGAUUUUCUCCAACCAUUAAUACAUUUCCCUGCCCCUCAAUUUACUCCUCUCUCUUCUUUCUACCCUUCCUCUUUCAAUUCAUUCAAUUGAUUUCCUAUUACCCCUCUCUCUCUCUCUCUCUCUCUCUCUCUCUCUCUCUCUCUCUCUCUCUCUUCCAACUUCUUCUCCUAUAAUUUAAUUAAGCUUUUAAAGCAAUCCCAUCUCUCCACUCUAUAGUUCCCAUUAUAUAAUAUGGCUUUACAAGUCCAAGAUCAUCAACUAGGACCACAACAAGUUCAACUUGUUCAUCUUAGUAGUUUGGCCGUGCUGCCGGUGGUUCCGGUUACUUCCCUUGGUGCGCCGCCGAUCUCCGCCGUAACCUUCCGGCUACCCCCUUCCUUUCUUCAAUCACUACCACCCUUACUCCACCUUUGAAUUAGAAGAGCUAGCUUUCCUCAUCACUUCCUUUAGGUGGCAAAAAUUCCUCAAUCUUAAGACAGGGGAGAUUGAUUAUUAUUCAAAAGAAAGAAGAAAAGAAAUCAUAUUAAUUACAAGUACUACAAUUAGCCAUGAGCCGAAGAAAUGGAAAUGGUGAGCUUGACCUAAAGCUGAAUUUGUCACCACCACGAGUGAUCAACCACCCACAAGUGGAGUCGCCGAGCAGGUCGUUGACGGCGUCGCCGACGAGUUCAUGCGUGUCGUCCGACGAUUCCUCCGCCGUCCAACGUUAUUCCGACAGCCCAGAAACAAUUACUUCAAUGGUGUUGGUUGGUUGUCCACGUUGUCUCAUGUAUGUUAUGUUAGCAGAAGUUAAUGACCCAAGAUGCCCUAAAUGCAAGAGUACUUGUUUGCUUGAUGUUAUGUAUGAGAAGAACAAGACUACUAGGAGGAAUAUCAGUUAGACUAUAGUCAAGAAUCUAUCAAAUUCUGCUAUUACUGCGUGUAUCAGCAAUCUUGCCCCCCAACCUUGGAAAAAAUGAAAAAUUAAAACCUUUGUUUACCCCUGUUUUCAACUUUCUAUAAAUAGCACUAUUUGAGCUCCAUUUUGACUUGAAUCCAAAAUGAAAAAUGUAAAAGAAAAAAAAUGAAAAAUGAAAUGGGUGAAGAGAACUUUUGGAGCUUCUA